GAUGAACGCUGGCGGCGUGCCUAAUACAUGCAAGUCGAGCGAACGGACGAGAAGCUUGCUUUUCUGAUGUUAGCGGCGGACGGGUGAGUAACACGUGGAUAACCUACCUAUAAGACUGGGAUAACUUCGGGAAACCGGAGCUAAUACCGGAUAAUAUUUUGAACCGCAUGGUUCAAAAGUGAAAGACGGUCUUGCUGUCACUUAUAGAUGGAUCCGCGCUGCAUUAGCUAGUUGGUAAGGUAACGGCUUACCAAGGCAACGAUGCAUAGCCGACCUGAGAGGGUGAUCGGCCACACUGGAACUGAGACACGGUCCAGACUCCUACGGGAGGCAGCAGUAGGGAAUCUUCCGCAAUGGGCGAAAGCCUGACGGAGCAACGCCGCGUGAGUGAUGAAGGUCUUCGGAUCGUAAAACUCUGUUAUUAGGGAAGAACAUAUGUGUAAGUAACUGUGCACAUCUUGACGGUACCUAAUCAGAAAGCCACGGCUAACUACGUGCCAGCAGCCGCGGUAAUACGUAGGUGGCAAGCGUUAUCCGGAAUUAUUGGGCGUAAAGCGCGCGUAGCGGUUUUUUAGUCUGAUGUGAAAGCCCACGGCUCAACCGUGGAGGGUCAUUGGAAACUGGAAAACUUGAGUGCAGAAGAGGAAAGUGGAAUUCCAUGUGUAGCGGUGAAAUGCGCAGAGAUAUGGAGGAACACCAGUGGCGAAGGCGACUUUCUGGUCUGUAACUGACGCUGAUGUGCGAAAGCGUGGGGAUCAAACAGGAUUAGAUACCCUGGUAGUCCACGCCGUAAACGAUGAGUGCUAAGUGUUAGGGGGUUUCCGCCCCUUAGUGCUGCAGCUAACGCAUUAAGCACUCCGCCUGGGGAGUACGACCGCAAGGUUGAAACUCAAAGGAAUUGACGGGGACCCGCACAAGCGGUGGAGCAUGUGGUUUAAUUCGAAGCAACGCGAAGAACCUUACCAAAUCUUGACAUCCUUUGACAACUCUAGAGAUAGAGCCUUCCCCUUCGGGGGACAAAGUGACAGGUGGUGCAUGGUUGUCGUCAGCUCGUGUCGUGAGAUGUUGGGUUAAGUCCCGCAACGAGCGCAACCCUUAAGCUUAGUUGCCAUCAUUAAGUUGGGCACUCUAAGUUGACUGCCGGUGACAAACCGGAGGAAGGUGGGGAUGACGUCAAAUCAUCAUGCCCCUUAUGAUUUGGGCUACACACGUGCUACAAUGGACAAUGCAAAGGGCAGCGAAACCGCGAGGUCAAGCAAAUCCCAUAAAGUUGUUCUCAGUUCGGAUUGUAGUCUGCAACUCGACUACAUGAAGCUGGAAUCGCUAGUAAUCGUAGAUCAGCAUGCUACGGUGAAUACGUUCCCGGGUCU
This 1370-nucleotide ribosomal RNA is filed under the name uncultured bacterium. Its description in RNAcentral is "bacterial SSU rRNA". It matches the Rfam family "Bacterial small subunit ribosomal RNA", at positions 28 to 1381 of the family's 1533-position model. The record is from RNAcentral.